UACGGAGGGUGCGAGCGUUAUCCGGAUUUACUGGGUUUAAAGGGUGCGUAGGUGGGCAGUUAAGUCAGUGGUGAAAUCUCCGAGCUUAACUCGGAAACUGCCAUUGAUACUAUUUGUCUUGAAUAUCUUGGAGGUAAGCGGAAUAUGUCAUGUAGCGGUGAAAUGCUUAGAUAUGACAUAGAACACCGAUAGCGAAGGCAGCUUACUACAGGAAGAUUGACGCUGAGGCACGAAAGCGUGGGGAGCAAACAGG
Molecule: ribosomal RNA, 253 nt
Filed under: uncultured bacterium
Lineage: Bacteria
Description: partial 16S ribosomal RNA
Rfam family: Bacterial small subunit ribosomal RNA
Source: RNAcentral